This 739-nucleotide long non-coding RNA is filed under the name Capsicum annuum. Its description in RNAcentral is "long non-coding RNA (CANN_LNC017731)". The record is from RNAcentral. Lineage: Eukaryota; Viridiplantae; Streptophyta; Magnoliopsida; Solanales; Solanaceae.
AAAAAAAAAGAGGGUGGAGACAACAAGAAGGAGAAAAUUGAGGAAGUAUUAAAAAAUACGGAGAAGAGAGAAAAAUAAGCAAACAAGAUUUUUUUAAAAAAAAAAAAAUAAAAGUAAGAAGAAGAAAAAAAGAGACAGUGAGAAUAAAAAAAGAGUUAGAAAAUUUUCAGAGAAAACUUCAAAAAUCAUAAAAUAAAAUAAAAAGCAAGAGAAGUUCUUUGGGUUUGGCAAUUCGAGUUCGGAUUUCGUUCGAAUUUUCUGGUGACGACAUUUUGAUUAUCAUCUUUGGUUAACUUAUCACACAGGUUCUACUUGAGAUCCUUUCUAUUUAUUUUAUAAGUUUUAUUAUGAAUCACAUAAUGAUCAAAGUUAUUUUAAUAAUUUCAUAAUUUAAGAUGUAAAGUUUAAUAUAUAUGUAGAGUUUUUUUUUUUGUUUUAUGUUUUUUUUUUGUAAUUUAUUUAUUGUAUUGAAUCAAAGAAAAAAUAUAAUCUUAAUUAGUUUGUCAGUGAUUGUCAAUUGCUAUGUUGUGACUUGUUUGCUUACUGUUCUCCGUGAAUCAUUUCGUUAAUUAUAAACAUUAAAGUUCUUGGAUGAUAAAAAGUGUAACGUUUUUCUUUUUAAAAAAUGUCAAUAUAUUAUUUUAUCAAUGUUUAUUUUUUUUAUGUUUAAUUAAUUAUGAAAGUUUUAUAGUGUAAUUAAUAAGGGAUUAAAAUAGAUAGGCGCAUGCACACUGAGAUC